GAGAUCCUGAAACCGCAUGCAUACAAACAGGGGGAGCCCUGAAAGGGGUGACUGCGUACCUUUUGUAUAAUGGGUCAGCGACUUACGUUCUGUAGCGAGCUUAACCGAAUAGGGGAGGCGUAGCGAAAGCGAGUCUGAUAAGGGCGCUUUAGUUGCAGGGCGUAGACCCGAAACCAGAUGAUCUACCCAUGGCCAGGAUGAAGGUGCCGUAACAGGUACUGGAGGUCCGAACCCACUAAUGUUGAAAAAUUAGGGGAUGAGCUGUGGGUAGGGGUGAAAGGCUAAACAAAUCUGGAAAUAGCUGGUUCUCCCCGAAAGCUAUUUAGGUAGCGCCUCAUGUAUCACUCGCGGGGGUAGAGCACUGUAAUGGUUGGAGGGGUCAUUGCGAUCUACUCCGCCAUAGCAAACUCCGAAUACCGCGAAGUGCGAGCAUGGGAGACAGACGGUGGGUGCUAACGUCCAUCGUCAAGAGGGAAACAACCCAGACCGCCAGCUAAGGUCCCCAAGCCAUGGUUAAGUGGAAAACGAAGUGGGAAGGCAUAGACAGUCAGGAAGUUGGCUUAGAAGCAGCCAUCCUUCAAAGAAAGCGUAAUAGCUCACUGAUCGAGUCGUCCUGCGCGGAAGAUGUAACGGGGCUCAAACCAUGCACCGAAGCUGCGGAUGUGCGUAAGCACAUGGUAGGGGAGCGUUCUGUAGGUCUGCGAAGGUGUGGUGUAAACCAUGCUGGAGAUAUCAGAAGUGCGAAUGCUGACAUGAGUAGCGAUAAAGCGUGUGAAAAGCACGCUCGCCGAAAGCCCAAGGUUUCCUGCGCAACGUUCAUCGGCGCAGGGUGAGUCGGCCCCUAAGGCGAGGCCGAAAGGCGUAGUCGAUGGGAAACGGGUCAAUAUUCCCGUACCGAUCUGUAAUGCGAUGGGGGGACGGAGAAGGUUAGCUCAGCCGGGUGUUGGACGUCCCGGUUUAAGCGUGUAGGCGUGCUGCAUAGGCAAAUCCGUGCGGCUUAGCUGAGGCGUGAUGACGAGGAUCUUCGGAUCUGAAGUGAGUGAUACCCAGCUUCCAGGAAAAGCCUCUAAGCUUCAGUUACAGAUUGACCGUACCGCAAACCGACACAGGUGGGCAGGAUGAAAAUUCUAAGGCGCUUGAGAGAACUCAGGAGAAGGAACUCGGCAAAUUGAUACCGUAACUUCGGGAGAAGGUAUGCCUCGGUAGCGUGAAGCCCCUGCGGGUGGAGCGUGAUGAGGUCGCAGAGAAUCGGUGGCUGCAACUGUUUAAUAAAAACACAGCACUCUGCAAAGGCGAAAGCCGACGUAUAGGGUGUGACGCCUGCCCGGUGCCGGAAGGUUAAGUGAUGGGGUGCAAGCUCUUGAUCGAAGCCCCGGUAAACGGCGGCCGUAACAAUAACGGUCCUAAGGUAGCGAAAUUCCUUGUCGGGUAAGUUCCGACCUGCACGAAUGGCGUAAUGAUGGCCACACUGUCUCCUCCUGAGACUCAGCGAAGU
This 1495-nucleotide ribosomal RNA is filed under the name metagenome. Its description in RNAcentral is "bacterial LSU rRNA". It matches the Rfam family "Bacterial large subunit ribosomal RNA", at positions 544 to 2042 of the family's 2925-position model. The record is from RNAcentral.